RNAcentral lists this ribosomal RNA (440 nucleotides) under uncultured bacterium. RNAcentral describes it as "partial 16S ribosomal RNA". It matches the Rfam family "Bacterial small subunit ribosomal RNA", at positions 338 to 795 of the family's 1533-position model. The record is from RNAcentral.
CCUACGGGAGGCUGCAGUGGGGAAUAUUGGACAAUGGGGGAAACCCUGAUCCAGCGACGCCGCGUGAGUGAAGGUGUAUUUCGGUACGUAAAGCUCUAUCAGCAGGAAAGAAAAUGACGGUACCUUACUACGAAGCCCCGGCAAACUCCGUACCAGCAGCCGCGGUACUACGUAGGGGGCAAGCGUUAUCCGGAUUUACAGGGUGUAAAGGGAGCGUAGACGGCAGAGCAAGUCUGGAGCGAAAUGCUGGGGCGCAACCCCGGAAGUGCUCUGGAAACUGUGAAGCUGGAGUGCAGGAGAGGUAAGCGGAAUGCGUGGUGUAGCGGUGAAAUGCGUAGAUAUCAGGAGGAACACCGGCGGCGAAGGCGGCUUACUGGACUGUAACUGACGUUGAGGCUCGAAGGCGUGGGGAGCAAACAGGAUUAGAUACCCUAGUAGUC